GACGAACGCUGGCGGCGUGCCUAAUACAUGCAAGUCGAGCGGACUUGGAGGAGCUUGCUCCUCUUGGUUAGCGGCGGACGGGUGAGUAACACGUGGGCAACCUGCCUAUGAGACUGGGAUAACUCCGGGAAACCGGGGCUAAUACCGGAUAAUUCUUUUCUACACAUGUAGAAAAGCUGAAAGAUGGUUUCGGCUAUCACUCAUAGAUGGGCCCGCGGCGCAUUAGCUAGUUGGUGAGGUAACGGCUCACCAAGGCGACGAUGCGUAGCCGACCUGAGAGGGUGAUCGGCCACACUGGGACUGAGACACGGCCCAGACUCCUACGGGAGGCAGCAGUAGGGAAUCUUCCGCAAUGGACGAAAGUCUGACGGAGCAACGCCGCGUGAGUGAUGAAGGUUUUCGGAUCGUAAAACUCUGUUGUUAGGGAAGAACAAGUACCGGAGUAACUGCCGGUACCUUGACGGUACCUAACCAGAAAGCCACGGCUAACUACGUGCCAGCCGCCGCAGUAAAAC
This 515-nucleotide ribosomal RNA is filed under the name uncultured bacterium. RNAcentral describes it as "bacterial SSU rRNA". It matches the Rfam family "Bacterial small subunit ribosomal RNA", at positions 28 to 526 of the family's 1533-position model. The record is from RNAcentral.